AAGUCGUAACAAGGUAACCGUAUGGGAACCUGCGGUUGGAUCACCUCCUUACCUUAAAGAAGC
This 63-nucleotide ribosomal RNA is filed under the name Escherichia coli. Its description in RNAcentral is "partial 16S ribosomal RNA". Lineage: Bacteria; Pseudomonadati; Pseudomonadota; Gammaproteobacteria; Enterobacterales; Enterobacteriaceae. The record is from RNAcentral.